GAUGAACGCUGGCGGCGUGCCUAAUACAUGCAAGUCGAGCGAACGGACGAGAAGCUUGCUUUUCUGAUGUUAGCGGCGGACGGGUGAGUAACACGUGGAUAACCUACCUAUAAGACUGGGAUAACUUCGGGAAACCGGAGCUAAUACCGGAUAAUAUUUUGAACCGCAUGGUUCAAAAGUGAAAGACGGUCUUGCUGUCACUUAUAGAUGGAUCCGCGCUGCAUUAGCUAGUUGGUAAGGUAACGGCUUACCAAGGCAACGAUGCAUAGCCGACCUGAGAGGGUGAUCGGCCACACUGGAACUGAGACACGGUCCAGACUCCUACGGGAGGCAGCAGUAGGGAAUCUUCCGCAAUGGGCGAAAGCCUGACGGAGCAACGCCGCGUGAGUGGUGAAGGUCUUCGGAUCGUAAAACUCUGUUAUUAGGGAAGGACAUAUGUGUAAGUAACUGUGCACAUCUUGACGGUACCUAAUCAGAAAGCCACGGCUAACUACGUG
Molecule: ribosomal RNA, 497 nt
Filed under: uncultured bacterium
Lineage: Bacteria
Description: partial 16S ribosomal RNA
Rfam family: Bacterial small subunit ribosomal RNA
Source: RNAcentral